RNAcentral lists this ribosomal RNA (253 nucleotides) under uncultured bacterium. RNAcentral describes it as "partial 16S ribosomal RNA". It matches the Rfam family "Bacterial small subunit ribosomal RNA", at positions 524 to 776 of the family's 1533-position model. The record is from RNAcentral.
UACGAAGGGGGCUAGCGUUGCUCGGAAUGACUGGGCGUAAAGGGCGCGUAGGCGGAGUGCUUUGUCGGGCGUGGAAUUCCGGGGCUCAACCUUGGGGCUGCGUUCGAGACGGGCAUUCUAGGGUGGAGAAGAGGGUCGUGGAAUUCCCAGUGUAGAGGUGAAAUUCGUAGAUAUUGGGAAGAACACCGGUGGCGAAGGCGGCGACCUGGUCUUUUACUGACGCUGAGGCGCGAAAGCGUGGGGAGCAAACAGG